GACGAACGCUGGCGGCGUGCUUAACACAUGCAAGUCGAACGGAAAGGCCCUGCUUUUGUGGGGUGCUCGAGUGGCGAACGGGUGAGUAACACGUGAGUAACCUGCCCUUGACUUUGGGAUAACUUCAGGAAACUGGGGCUAAUACCGGAUAGGAGCUCCUGCUGCAUGGUGGGGGUUGGAAAGUUUCGGCGGUUGGGGAUGGACUCGCGGCUUAUCAGCUUGUUGGUGGGGUAGUGGCUUACCAAGGCUUUGACGGGUAGCCGGCCUGAGAGGGUGACCGGCGACAUUGGGACUGAGGUACGGACCAGAGUCCUACGGGAGGCAACAGUGGGGAAUAUUGCACAAUGGGCGGAAGCCUGAUGCAGCAACGCCGCGGGCGGGAUGACGGCCUGCGGGUUGUAAACCGCUUUCGCCUGUGACGAAGCGUGAGUGACGGUAAUGGGUAAAGAAGCACCGGCUAACUACGUG
This 468-nucleotide ribosomal RNA is filed under the name uncultured bacterium. Its description in RNAcentral is "partial 16S ribosomal RNA". It matches the Rfam family "Bacterial small subunit ribosomal RNA", at positions 28 to 507 of the family's 1533-position model. The record is from RNAcentral.